RNAcentral lists this long non-coding RNA (856 nucleotides) under Zonotrichia albicollis (white-throated sparrow). RNAcentral describes it as "lncRNA (ENSZALG00000017540.1)". Lineage: Eukaryota; Metazoa; Chordata; Aves; Passeriformes; Passerellidae. The record is from RNAcentral.
GUAUAAGGCUAUGUCCGCUCUUCCCAAGCAUCUGAAAUGUGAAGCAGCCCUGUAGUGAUAUUACAUACAUAGGAAACUGCAUGUAUUACAAUAAGAUUAGUAGUCACAAAGUGUAUUUCUGUACCUCUCUGAAUUACUGUGUGCUGAACAGCUAAUUGUUCUUGUCUAAUUUCUGAGUGUACCUGUUGGUGCUUUCUACUGGUUUUAGAAUGUGUACUGCAGAAUAUUCCAAAUGUUCCUGAUGGCAACUCUGAAGAAAGUGAAUCUGCUUCUACCUCCCCCAAUGAAGGUGAUAUCAGUGGCUCUACUGAUGAGGGCUGGUGCAAUAUAUAUACUGACCUGGAUGUGUGGGAUGGUGAAGUUUCCAAUGUACCCAAGUCUUCAGGGCAGCAAGAUGCAUCUGAGCAUGAGGUGGAGGACUGGGAUAAAGAAUUGGAGGAGGCUGCAUCUGGUCCUUAUGAUGCUGACGAUCUCUGCGGCGGAAGCUUUGAGGAAAAGAAUGUUUUCGGCUCAUAUGUGUGGAAGGAGGAUUGGUUUUACCACCCAAGCUGUCACCACACACCUUGCCUUGUGUUUCCACCACGAGUUAGAACAGUUGAGAAGGGCCAGUUUGAUGAUGCUGAUGAAUGAGGUUGAGUCUGGUCAGAAGGGUUUCAGUGGCAAUGUGCACAGGAGGAGUUCAGCUGCAUUCAGCUCCUGUUAGUUUAUGUACCCCAAAGAGAUGAGAGUGACUCUCCAGAGAGCCUCAGCUGGGACUGGACCCGAGUGACAGAGAACUCCAAAAAGAGCCAGAUCUGAGUAAAGGUUUGGACUGAACAUUGCUGGUUUUAAUUUCUUUUUUAAUCAGAUUUUGUUC